This 331-nucleotide ribosomal RNA is filed under the name uncultured eukaryote. RNAcentral describes it as "partial 18S ribosomal RNA". It matches the Rfam family "Eukaryotic small subunit ribosomal RNA", at positions 1470 to 1796 of the family's 1831-position model. The record is from RNAcentral.
CCCUUAGAUGUUCUGGGCCGCACGCGCGCUACACUGAAAGCGUCAACGAGUUUUUUACCUUGGCCGGGAGGCCUGGGCAAUCUUUUCAAACGCUUUCGUGCUGGGGAUUGAUGGUUGUAAUUUUCCAUCAUCAACGAGGAAUUCCUAGUAAGCGUGAGUCAUCAGCUCGCGUUGAUUACGUCCCUGCCCUUUGUACACACCGCCCGUCGCUCCUACCGAUUGGAUGGUCCGGUGAGAACUCCGGACUGCGACGAUGUAGCUGGUUCGCCAGCCACGACGACGCAGGAAGUUGUUCAAACCUUAUCAUCUAGAGGAAGGAGAAGUCGUANCA